RNAcentral lists this unclassified non-coding RNA (373 nucleotides) under soil metagenome. Its description in RNAcentral is "partial contains 5.8S ribosomal RNA, internal transcribed spacer 2, and large subunit ribosomal RNA". The stretch from base 1 to 121 matches the Rfam family "5.8S ribosomal RNA", at positions 35 to 154 of the family's 154-position model. The record is from RNAcentral.
GAUGAAGAACGUAGCGAAAUGCGAUAAGUAAUGCGAAUUGCAGAAUUCCAGUGAGUCAUCGAAUCUUUGAACGCACAUUGCGCCCUUUGGUAUUCCGAAGGGCAUGCCUGUUCGAGCGUCAUUAUCACCCCUCAAGCCCUCGGCUUGGUGUUGGACGGUUUGGUGGAGGCCCCCUCGGGGGUUCCUGCCCCUCCCAAAGACAAUGACGGCGGCCUCGUUGGACCCCCGGUACACUGAGUUCUUCACGGGACACGUAUCGGACACAUGGGUUUACGGGACACGGUCUGCCUCCCCUCAGGGAGAAUCUUUCUAAGGUUGACCUCGGAUCAGGUAGGGAUACCCGCUAAACUUAAGCAUAUCAAUAAGCGGAGGA